Molecule: non-coding RNA, 509 nt
Organism: Coturnix japonica (Japanese quail)
Lineage: Eukaryota; Metazoa; Chordata; Aves; Galliformes; Phasianidae
Source: RefSeq, a predicted model, not a curated record
ACAAAUGCUACAUAUUAUACAAUAUACAGUGCUAACACUACUUAUCUAGCCCACAUGCAACAGUAAUAUAUAUAUAUUUUAAGGGCACUGAAACGUGAAGGAGUCUGUCAAAAGAAACAAAGACCUGGAAAAUAUCAGUGUUUGUCUUCAUCUGGGGCUGCCAAUGCCCUCACUUUUAUCUCCCACAGUUACUGACAAAAUCUUGUUGCUUUGAAAGUCAUAUCUCCCAGCUGCUGGCUGGCACCUUCACGGCUCCAGGGGAAUGCAGGUGUCUUGCAAGGUCUUCAGUAGAGGAAGAUGGUUUUCUUCACCAGGAUAAGACUCUUGAACUUGUCUCAGUGUUCAGUGGCAAGCCACUGAUGAACAUGGAGCGUGGGGAGAAGUACUCAUGGCAACCUGGGUUGCUAGGCAGAUGGAUUAUUGUGUUUUGUUCCUGCCACAGUGUUCUCAGAGAUCCUGGCUUCAUUUCUAGAUAGAAUCAAUGGUAAUAAAGUCUGAAGGUUAAAAUA